RNAcentral lists this non-coding RNA (30 nucleotides) under Mus musculus (house mouse). Lineage: Eukaryota; Metazoa; Chordata; Mammalia; Rodentia; Muridae. The record is from RNAcentral.
UGAAAUUGAUCCUGGUCGCUUGAUAGUAUU